Miniopterus natalensis is the source of this 445-nucleotide long non-coding RNA. RefSeq lists it as uncharacterized. NCBI's taxonomy places the organism in Eukaryota, Metazoa, Chordata, Mammalia, Chiroptera, Miniopteridae. The record is from RefSeq and is a predicted model, not a curated record.
CAACUCCCACUUCACUUUGAUGAAACCUGAAGCUGCCAGCACCUUUUCCUUCUGCUCUUCCCUCAGGACCCCAAGGACCCAAAUCAGUAGCCCCAGGAAAUCAGCUCUAUUUUCUGAAUGAAGAUUCUUGGUGGCCUACACCUACUGUUUGCUGUAUCUUCUAAUGUUUGCCAGUGGCGGGUUGUGGUACUAGGACUUCAGAGUUGAAAAUUCAUUACAUUGACCAUAAGAAUUCUGAAGGACGUCCAUUGAACUUGUCCUGCACCAUUUUUUCUACACUUCUGCAUGGGGUCCUAGCAGUAUCAUCCCUCAAAGAUGACUUCUCAUUAUUUCAUUGACUUGGGCAUUCCAGGAUCACUCAAUAAGAACAAACCCAGUGAGUGCUGACUAAACAAAUGAACAGAUGAAUGAAAAAACUCCAUUAAGAAGAGACUGAAUGAAUGGG